GUGAAACAUGUUUAUACAUGCACAAGAGUGAGCUCCACAGUCUACUAAGAAGACCUGUAUUUCUGAUCUGCAGUGCGCCACCUUUUAGCAUGCUUUUCAGCUCACUCAACGGUCUCAUACAGAGCUGGGUAAAUAUGUCAAAAACUACAUCGGAAAGUCUCAGUUCAGAUAAACCCUGCAUAUCCUCGUCAGCAGUCAUGAGGCUUUUCUGUUUGCAUACUUUCAAGAGGCAUUCAUACAUGCAGUUCCUGUGUUGUCAUUCUGGACUUGCAUAG
Molecule: long non-coding RNA, 275 nt
Filed under: Coturnix japonica (Japanese quail)
Lineage: Eukaryota; Metazoa; Chordata; Aves; Galliformes; Phasianidae
Description: lncRNA (ENSCJPG00005012454.1)
Source: RNAcentral